This 91-nucleotide transfer RNA is filed under the name Bacteroidota bacterium. Its description in RNAcentral is "Bacteroidetes bacterium (marine metagenome) tRNA-Ser". It matches the Rfam family "tRNA". Rfam says of the family: Transfer RNA (tRNA) molecules are approximately 80 nucleotides in length. The record is from RNAcentral. Lineage: Bacteria; Pseudomonadati; Bacteroidota.
GGAGAGGUGCCUGAGAGGCCGAAAGGAACGGUUUGCUAAAUCGUCGUCCCUCAAAAGGGGACCGGGGGUUCGAAUCCCCCCCUCUCCGCAA